CCAAAGGCUCUUUUCAGAGCCACAUAUCUUCACCUGAAGAGUUGUA
This is a non-coding RNA of Ictidomys tridecemlineatus (thirteen-lined ground squirrel), 46 nucleotides long. Lineage: Eukaryota; Metazoa; Chordata; Mammalia; Rodentia; Sciuridae. The record is from Rfam.